CUCAAGCCCUAUAUCUUUGUGCACCUUAAGCACCUGGAAGCCAAUACGACGGGCCACUUAGAUCCCCUCCUCCCGGUCAGCCAUCCUUGACAUUGAUUCAGUCUUGUUGAUGACGUACGAGUAGCACAGUGAUUCAUAUUGUUGAUGUCCAAUAUUCAUUCUUCUUGAUAUGCAAAUUCAGUGUAUGCACAAUUAUGGAUUCAGAUAAACUGGGAGUGGUGCAUGCCUUUGUAUUGUGUUCCUGAACCUUGCUUUCUCCAUGUCAGGUCUUCUGUUCUUAGAAAAAACUCUUUUGUUGCAUCCACAUUAACCAUAUAUAUUUCUAUUUCCAUUUUUGAAUUGUAAUAUGUAGCUCAGUUUGGUGUGUCAAUUUCAGCUAGACUAAAUCAACCAUUCGGUCCUUCGUAAGUCGACUUUUCGUGUGUGUGUGUGUGUGUGUGUGUGUGUGUAGGAGGUUUAGCAGGCCUGACUUAAGACCGAACCCUGACGGUGUUUAGGCAUGGUCCGGUUGGAGAGCUUAUUUCCAGCGUUGGAGGUCUUUUCAGUUUUUCUAAAGACUUGUCCAAGUUAAACCACAAGAAUGUCAUGGGCUUGCUUGGCUACCACGGAG
Triticum dicoccoides is the source of this 610-nucleotide long non-coding RNA. RefSeq lists it as uncharacterized. The record is from RefSeq and is a predicted model, not a curated record. NCBI's taxonomy places the organism in Eukaryota, Viridiplantae, Streptophyta, Magnoliopsida, Poales, Poaceae. The transcript is spliced from 3 exons.